AAUAAGAAAAGAAAAGCAGCCAACCUGAGAGCAGAGCAGUUAGUCUCUCUGUUUUCUACGCAGAUUAUAAAUAAUCGUUUGUAUAUAAUUCCAUGAAAGUAAGGCUUAGUUGCACAUUUUAGAAGAAAAUAAAAAGCAAGAAAAAGCCAUGAGCGGCCUAUGACGCUUUUAAGCUGGAAGCUAUCAGAAAAAGUUUAGGUAAAAGGGCUAAAGAGAACCCAUUGUUUCUCUUUUGCUGAGGAUCAUCUCAGACUCAAAGCCACAUCAUUUUUGGGUCUAAGAGAUCUGAACUGGAUCCCAGGCUGUGAUUCCUGGCUCUGUAUCAAAUGGGCUCAUCUGCAGAUUCUGAAAGAUUGUUCAACAGGCAAAGAACCCUUCACGAGAUCCU
This is a non-coding RNA of Prunus avium (sweet cherry), 388 nucleotides long. Lineage: Eukaryota; Viridiplantae; Streptophyta; Magnoliopsida; Rosales; Rosaceae. The record is from RefSeq and is a predicted model, not a curated record.